UUCCUUUCCGCAGAGUUCUUGGAAAAAGCGAUGUUUCACCUUGUGCAAGUCUAGCGAGAGAUGCUACACCUUGAAGUACCUUAAAGGUCAACAGAUAAAGGGUUUCAUUGCAAUUGACCAGAUUUCAAAUAUUGAGAUUGGCAUAAGUAAUUAUGAGAAGAUGACAGCAGUAAGGAAGAUGUUCAAAUGCCAUCCUGAGGAAGUGCUAUCCAUCAACACAGAGAGCAGGGAAUACUACCUCAUUGGGAAGGACAGGGAACAAGUUGAGGACUGGUUCACUUCCCUAUCUUCAGUCCGCAUGAAGGCAAAAGAAGAUGGAUGCUUUGCUCAGAACCAGAAUCCUGAGGCUCAGAGAAGCAAAGGUCGGUCCCUCUCUUCGCCACCAGCCGUCGAUGAAACAGUUAUGAGCACCUAUGAGGAGAUUCCGAGUGACUGCAGUGAAGUGGAAGAUCUCACAGAUGACAAGAAAAGGCCUCACUCAGAUCCCGGCUCUCGUGGUCUCCCUGAACAGCAGCCUCGCCACAGUUCACCAACACCUCUUCUUCCAAGUCUGAAUAACAAUUCUGAAAAGACCAGCAUAAAUCAGCUGCUGUUGGACUCAGAUGAGAACACCAGAGCAGAGGAGGAAGACUAUUAUGCUUCUCCAAGCAGCAUUCUAG
This 659-nucleotide long non-coding RNA is filed under the name Gopherus agassizii (Agassiz's desert tortoise). RNAcentral describes it as "lncRNA (ENSGAGG00000010390.1)". The record is from RNAcentral. Lineage: Eukaryota; Metazoa; Chordata; Testudines; Testudinidae.